Alosa sapidissima (American shad) is the source of this 903-nucleotide long non-coding RNA. RefSeq lists it as uncharacterized. The record is from RefSeq and is a predicted model, not a curated record. Lineage: Eukaryota; Metazoa; Chordata; Actinopteri; Clupeiformes; Clupeidae. The transcript is spliced from 2 exons.
CUCUGACUCCAUUCUUCAGUUUCAAUCAGGGACCGUCCCUCAGUAGGUUUGGACCUCUUGCUGUGCCACCUCCAUGAGGAUCUGGAGCUGCCUGCUGAUGUAGUCUACAAGGCAACCAACGCAGCAAGACCUGGAAUGGGGGAAGAAUGAGUGAACUCACCAAAGGCACGCCUCAAGCGAGGUGGAAGGCUCUGGCGCUUCACAGUCAGAUAAUACACGGGAACUCCUGACAGGGUGAGGGCACAGCUGCCCCCCGUGUUCCAGGGGUCAGAGUAGAGAGACAGGCCCACGAUGAAGAAGCAAACCAGGGUAAAGAUAACUGCAAUAGCCAAGGGCACCUUUGGCACAAAAGCAGAAGCACCAGAAGUUUUAUGUUUAAGUCCAGAGUCACUACAUCAUUUGGGGAAUAAAUAAGAUGCUGGCACGAAUGCACUGCCAUGACAUAUUCAGGGAUACAGCCAUAGGGUACUCAUAGCUACCUUGAAGGGCCUUGGAUGCUGGGGGAAACGAUACCGAUGAAUGAGCAUCCCCAAGGUUGCCAUGGCAAUAAAGAGCCAGCGGGAGAAGGAGGCCAAGUUGAUGAGCUGGUAGAUGUCCCCUGAUCUUAUCACCAUAAAAACCACCAUUGGAUACUGCAAACAAAAGACAUACAACAGAACCAGAGUAAGAUAUACUGUAGUGGUGAUUGGAGAGGAAACGGCACUAACACAGAUGGGACAAAAUGGCUAACCAUGAACAGCACAGCUGGUAGCGGUGUCUGUCUGCGGAUGUGGAUCAUGGAGAAGAGAGCCGGCCAGUGGCCCUCCCUGCCCCCCACAAACAGCAUCCUUUUGAAACAAAGGCAGACGUGCAAGAGAGUUAUUUGUUUAAGCAACUGUGUAAAAUAAAGUCCUUAAAAGUUAA